Molecule: ribosomal RNA, 253 nt
Filed under: uncultured bacterium
Lineage: Bacteria
Description: partial 16S ribosomal RNA
Rfam family: Bacterial small subunit ribosomal RNA
Source: RNAcentral
UACGUAGGGGGCAAGCGUUGUCCGGAAUCAUUGGGCGUAAAGAGCGUGUAGGCGGCUCGGUAAGUCCGCUCUGAAAGCCCGGGGCUCAACCCCGGGAGGCGGGCGGAUACUGUCGGGCUAGAGUCCGGAAGAGGCGAGUGGAAUUCCUGGUGUAGCGGUGAAAUGCGUAGAUAUCGGGAGGAACACCAGUGGCGAAGGCGACUUCCUGGCCUGUUCUUGACGCUGAGGCGCGAAAGCUAGGGGAGCAAACGGG